RNA transcript from Ictidomys tridecemlineatus (thirteen-lined ground squirrel), 482 nucleotides. It is a transcript of the gene named class I histocompatibility antigen, Gogo-B*0102 alpha chain-like, with no coding region annotated. Lineage: Eukaryota; Metazoa; Chordata; Mammalia; Rodentia; Sciuridae. The record is from RefSeq and is a predicted model, not a curated record.
AUGACAGUUCCCAGGAUCUGAUGUGUCUCUCACUGGUUAAAAAGUAUUUUCUUUCAACUGAGUAAUACAGGAUUUCCUCAGUUCUCUUCCUGCUCCCUGCUGCAGUUUCAAGAGGUCCCAACUUCUCUUUGUGCAGCUGACAAUUAACUGUGUCUAUGUGUCUGUGUUCCUGUCAUCAGGUCAUGAGGAAAUGGAGACAGGCUCUCAUCUUUGAUCACCAAGAACCCUGCCUACACUGUCCUGUUCUCUUCCUCAGUUAACUUUCCUAUGUAGCAAAUGUGGGGCUGGGAUGUCUCCAUUCCUGGUAGCUUUAUGUUGCCCUGGACUGUAGACUUUUCCUUGCCCUUUGGAAAACAGAAUGUGUAUAUUGAUUUGUAUUUCACAUUUGUGCCAUGAAUUACGGUUGUGGGUUAAUUAAGUGAAAAGAGGAUUCCUAAAAUUUCUGAGAGAAAAAUAAAACCCCAAACCUUCCAGAAUCCACA